RNAcentral lists this ribosomal RNA (168 nucleotides) under uncultured Nitratifractor sp. RNAcentral describes it as "partial 16S ribosomal RNA". It matches the Rfam family "Bacterial small subunit ribosomal RNA", at positions 337 to 522 of the family's 1533-position model. The record is from RNAcentral. Lineage: Bacteria; Pseudomonadati; Campylobacterota; Epsilonproteobacteria; Campylobacterales; Sulfurovaceae.
GCCUACGGGAGGCAGCAGUGGGGAAUUUUGCACAAUGCCCGAAAGGGUGAUGCAGCAACGCCGCGUGGAGGAUGAAGGUCUUCGGGUUGUAAACUCCUUUUAUUGGGAAAGAUUAUGACGGUACCCAAUGAAUAAGCCACGGCUAACUCUGUGCCAGCAGCCGCGGUC